This 253-nucleotide ribosomal RNA is filed under the name uncultured Methylocaldum sp. RNAcentral's name for it is "partial 16S ribosomal RNA". It matches the Rfam family "Bacterial small subunit ribosomal RNA", at positions 524 to 776 of the family's 1533-position model. The record is from RNAcentral. Lineage: Bacteria; Pseudomonadati; Pseudomonadota; Gammaproteobacteria; Methylococcales; Methylococcaceae.
UACGGAGGGUGCGAGCGUUAAUCGGAAUUACUGGGCGUAAAGCGCGCGUAGGCGGUUCGCUAAGUCAGCUGUGAAAGCCCCGGGCUUAACCUGGGAACGGCAGUUGAAACUGGCGGGCUAGAGUGUGGUAGAGGGUAGUGGAAUUUCCGGUGUAGCAGUGAAAUGCGUAGAGAUCGGAAGGAACACCAGUGGCGAAGGCGACUACCUGGACCAACACUGACGCUGAGGUGCGAAAGCGUGGGGAGCAAACAGG